CGCUCUUCCCGAAGUGAGCGAAUUGCAUGUAGAGAUCCGUAGGGGCUUAUAGUUUAAUUGGUUGAAACGUACCGCUCAUAACGGUGAUAUUGUAGGUUCGAGCCCUACUAAGCCUAC
This 117-nucleotide transfer RNA is filed under the name Helianthus annuus (common sunflower). RNAcentral's name for it is "sRNA HanXRQr2_Chr16g0747681". The stretch from base 43 to 116 matches the Rfam family "tRNA". Rfam says of the family: Transfer RNA (tRNA) molecules are approximately 80 nucleotides in length. Their secondary structure includes four short double-helical elements and three loops (D, anti-codon, and T loops). Lineage: Eukaryota; Viridiplantae; Streptophyta; Magnoliopsida; Asterales; Asteraceae. The record is from RNAcentral.